Molecule: ribosomal RNA, 505 nt
Filed under: uncultured bacterium
Lineage: Bacteria
Description: partial 16S ribosomal RNA
Rfam family: Bacterial small subunit ribosomal RNA
Source: RNAcentral
ACGAACGCUGGCGGCGUGCCUAAUACAUGCAAGUCGCACGCAUUUUCUUUCACCGUAGCUUGCUACACCGAAAGAAAAUGAGUGGCGAACGGGUGAGUAACACGUGGGCAACCUGCCCAUCAGCGGGGGAUAACACUUGGAAACAGGUGCUAAUACCGCAUAAUUCCAUUUACCGCAUGGUAGAGGGAUGAAAGGCGCUUUUGCGUCACUGAUGGAUGGACCCGCGGUGCAUUAGCUAGUUGGUGGGGUAACGGCCUACCAAGGCUGCGAUGCAUAGCCGACCUGAGAGGGUGAUCGGCCACACUGGGACUGAGACACGGCCCAGACUCCUACGGGAGGCAGCAGUAGGGAAUCUUCGGCGAUGGACGCAAGUCUGACCGAGCAACGCCGCGUGAGUGAAGAAGGUGUUCGGAUCGUAAAACUCCGUUGUUAGAGAAGAACAAGGAUGAGAGUGGAAAGUUCAUCCCUUGACGGUAUCGAACCAGAAAGCCACGGCUAACUACGU